This is a long non-coding RNA of Bactrocera dorsalis (oriental fruit fly), 1819 nucleotides long. RefSeq lists it as uncharacterized. Lineage: Eukaryota; Metazoa; Arthropoda; Insecta; Diptera; Tephritidae. The transcript has 3 exons. The record is from RefSeq and is a predicted model, not a curated record.
GGCCUUCAAAAAAAGUGCUUCUGAAGCGUAUUUCGAGGUCUGGAAAAUCGUUAGCAUAAGUGUAUUACGAGGGCUGCUAUAUAUGUAUAUUUCUGAUCUAGGCAACACUAAGUGUUGCCAGGUGCAAUCUGAUAUUUCCAUUGGAAAGUUUGACAUUUUUUAGCAUAACAUCACUCAGAACGUUUUGUCAUUUAAUCGUGAAUUGUUUUAUUUACAGGGAAUUAAAAAAUUCAUCUCGGCCAAAAAAUGUAAUGGACUUGUGAACACUUUCGUGCGAUCAUUUUUCACAACUUUCGACGUGGAUUAUGACGACAAGAGUGCAUCGAUGAACUAAAAUCUUUGUAUGGCUAUUAAACACCAUCCUAUAGCACUAUGAAAAACUGCCGUUGUGCCAGAAAACAUCGAUGCCGUACGUGAACUGAUAAUGCAAGACCGUCAUGUAACAUACCUUCAGAUAGAGGCAUGCCUAUGCAUUUCUCCCACCAGCAUACAUUCGAUAUUGCAUGAACACCUGGCCGUAAAAAAGAUUUGUUCUCGUUGGAUCCCGCACAAUUUGACAAUCGCUCAAAAAAAGGCUCGUGUGGAUUGAUGUAAAGAAAUGCUGAAAAAAUACGAUCGCAGUGCUUCAAAAGACGUUUAUAAGACCGUCACAGGUGACGAAUCAUGGAUCUAUGCGUAUGAGCCCGAAACAAAACAGCAAUCGACCGUGUGGGUGGGUCUUCCAAGACGAGCCAAAUCCAACGAAAAAAAAAAACAUUUUCGUUGAUAAAUAUGCCUAUUUACAUUAUUAGGUCAGAAAUAUAUAUAGCAACCCUCGUAAAACAAAAUUUGCUGAAGAAGCUGAAGACCAUCCCAAAAAGUAUUUAUGAAAAUCCGUUCGAGGAAUGGAAAAAUCGUUGGCAUAAGUGUUUGCUGGAGUUUACUUUGAAGGCGACAAAAUAAAUAUUGAUGAAUAAUUAAUCGGUUGCACCAAAGAUAACAACUCUCUACAAAUAAAAAGUUUGAAAAUUUUUAAAAUAAAGGUAUGUGCACCUUUUGUUUUGCGCCAAUUAAAUGAAGACCAAAACGAACGAGUUAUUGAUGAAAAAAAAACGGAUUUCUCUCAUAAACUUCCUUCUGCCAACGUAUGCGCCGGAACUAUCAACAUGUGACAAUUUACUAUUUCAAAAACAGGAAACCAACAUUAAAGAAGCUUUUUAUGAUGGUAUUCAAACCAUUUAAGUAGCCAUAAGAGUGGUGCUGAACGACAUUCCUAUAAAUGUUAUAAAAUAUCUAUGAAUGUUCUGAUUGAUCGUUUCAAGUGUUGCAGUCUCAUUGAACAAAUUUUAAAUAAAUAAUAAGUUCCAAAAAUAAUAUAAUGUGCAUUUUAUUCUAUAUCCCAAUAGUUCGGUUGUUUUUAGAACACAUUUUCUAUACCGAAUAGUCGCUCAAGACAUUAUGAUCCUUUAAUUUGUAGAAUAAAAUACAGGAUGGCAUACGAAUCAUGCUACAAAAACAAAUCGUUACUAUUUUUUUUUUGUGUAAGUAAUCAAUGUUUUCAUUUAUUUGACAGGUUAUUAUUUAAAUUUUUAAAAAUGAAUGCUUGGGAUGCCGAAAAGAGAGUCUGAAUAGUGCAGCGGCACCAAGCUUUGCAGUCCGUCAUGUUCGUCCAAAGAUAAUUCAGACGAGAUUUUGAUGGCACUCCUCCCGAGUAAAUGAAUCAUUAUUAUGUUGGUAAGCAUGCUUGCCGAAUAUGGAAAUAUCGCAAGAAGUCAUACCAUCGGGAGCCGUAUGUUCGUGUUCAAAAAACAAUCGUGACUGUUGCAUCGUUAAUUCAGGC